AGAGCGAACGCUGGCGGCAGGCCUAACACAUGCAAGUCGAGCGCCGUAGCAAUACGGAGCGGCAGACGGGAGAGUAACACGUGGGAACGUACCCUUUGGUUCGGAACAACCCAGGGAAACUUGGGCUAAUACCGAAUAAGCCCUUACGGGGAAAGAUUUAUCGCCGAAGGAUCGGCCCGCGUCUGAUUAGCUAGUUGGUGGGGUAACGGCCCACCAAGGCGACGAUCAGUAGCUGGUCUGAGAGGAUGAUCAGCCUCAUUGGGACUGAGACACGGCCCAAACUCCUACGGGAGGCAGCAGUGGGGAAUAUUGGACAAUGGGCGCAAGCCUGAUCCAGCAAUGCCGCGUGGGUGAAGAAGGUCUUCGGAUUGUAAAGCCCUUUCGGCGGGGACGAUGAUGACGGUACCGCAGAAGAACGCCCGGCUAACUUCGCGCCAGCAGCCGC
Molecule: ribosomal RNA, 445 nt
Filed under: uncultured bacterium
Lineage: Bacteria
Description: SSU rRNA
Rfam family: Bacterial small subunit ribosomal RNA
Source: RNAcentral